Molecule: small RNA, 99 nt
Filed under: Microcebus murinus (gray mouse lemur)
Lineage: Eukaryota; Metazoa; Chordata; Mammalia; Primates; Cheirogaleidae
Description: Y RNA (ENSMICG00000023081.3)
Source: RNAcentral
AACUCUUUCAAUCACGUGAUUGUUCACAGUCAGUUACAGAUUGAACUCCUUGUUCUACUACUUUCCCCCCUCCUCACUACUGCACUUGACUAGUCUUAA